GAACGGCUGGCUCAAAAUGAGAAUCGAAUUGGUGGCGCAUAUCCCUAAAGAAGUUGGGAGAGGAUAAAGGAUCUUUUGUAAUUUUACCCCAAUUGCUUUUAAAUGAGUUCAGAUCAAAGAAUAAGUAAAAAUAAGUUGUUAUGGUAAGGAUAUCUUAUUCCAUGAACAGCUUAUGGAUUGGUCAGGCAGCCCAGCUUUCAAGCUCAAUGCUGCUAAGUGAAUGACCACAUGUAGAGCGCAGAGGCACCCAGCUACGCCCAACAAAGCCAAGACACCUGAGAAAUAUACAUACACCUUGGUUGUUUGAAGCCAGUCAGUGUGGAAGUAUUCUGUUACACAGCAAGAGGUAACUGAAAUGGGGAAGACCACAAAGGACAAGAGCCCUACACACAUUGUCAUAUUUAAAUUAUGUGUUGAAGGCAACAUUGGAACAAAAGAGAAAUAGCCUGCUCCGAGGCUUGGAGGCAACCAUGAGU
Long non-coding RNA from Peromyscus eremicus (cactus mouse), 476 nucleotides. RefSeq lists it as uncharacterized. The record is from RefSeq and is a predicted model, not a curated record. The transcript is spliced from 2 exons. NCBI's taxonomy places the organism in Eukaryota, Metazoa, Chordata, Mammalia, Rodentia, Cricetidae.